RNAcentral lists this ribosomal RNA (207 nucleotides) under uncultured bacterium. RNAcentral's name for it is "partial 16S ribosomal RNA". It matches the Rfam family "Bacterial small subunit ribosomal RNA", at positions 568 to 774 of the family's 1533-position model. The record is from RNAcentral.
UGCGUAGGUGGUCAUGUGUGUCGGGUGUGAAAGCCCACGGCUCAACCGUGGAAUUGCACUCGAAACUGCAAGACUAGAGUACAGGAGGGGAGAGCGGAAUUCUUGGUGUAGCGGUGAAAUGCGUUGAUAUCAAGAAGAACACCGGUGGCGAAGGCGGCUCUCUGGAAUGUUACUGACACUGAUGCACGAAAGCUGGGGGAGCGAACA